UGAGGGGGUAAAUUAAUAAAAUAAUAUAUAAUAAAAAAAUUUUUAUAUUAAAAUAUUUUAUGGGGGUUAAAGUAUUUUUGAUAGAAAAAAUAAAUUUAUUUAUAGUUAAUUAGUAUUGUAAGAGAAAUUUUGAAAAAAAAUGAAAAUAAAUUAAUUAAAAAGUAAUUUUUAUUUAAUGUAUCUUGUGUAUCAGAGUUUAUUAAUAAUUUUUUAUUUAAUUUAAAUUUUUCGAAUUUAAAAGAGUUAAUUAAUUAAAAAAUAUAUUGUAGAAAAAAUAUUUUAAAUAAUUAAUUAGAAAUGAAAUGUUAAUCGUUUUUAAAUAUAUCUAAUUUUUUUAGAAAAAAAUUUAAUUUUUUAAUUUAUUUAAUUAAAAAUUUAUUAAAAUUUAUAAUUUUUAAUUUAUUUAAAUAAAAUAUUUUAGGGGAUAAGCUUUAAAAUAAAAUAUUAUAAUAAUUAAAAUAAAAAUUAAAAUUUUUAAAAUUUAUAUUUUUUAUAAAUUUUAAUUUAUUAUAAAUAAUUUUAUAAUAAAAAAAAUUUUAAAUUAAAUUUAAUUUUUUAUAAAAAAAAUUAUUUUAAUAAAAAUUAUAAAAUUAUAAUGAUAAAAUUAGUAUAUUAAGUAAAAAUGAAAUAAAAUUAAUAAUAAUUUAAUAAAAAGAAUUCGGCAAAAAUUUAUAUUCACCUGUUUAACAAAAACAUGUCUUUUUGAUAAUAAUUUAAAGUCUAAUCUGCCCACUGAUGAUAUAUUAAAGGGCUGCAGUAUAUUGACUGUACAAAGGUAGCAUAAUCAAUAGUCUCUUAAUUAGUGACUUGUAUGAAUGAUUGGAUGAAAUAUAAACUGUUUCUUAUUAAUUUAAUAAAAUUUAAUUUUUUAGUUAAAAAGUUAAAAUAUUUUUAAAAGACGAGAAGACCCUAUAGAGUUUAAUAAAUUUAUUUAUUAAAAUUAUUUAUAAUUGAAAUAAAUAAUAAUUAAUGAAUUUAUUUUGUUGGGGUGAUAAAAAAAUUAAAAAAACUUUUUUUAUAGUUAAACAUAAAUAAAUGAAUUUAUUGAUCCAUUAUAUUUGUUGAUUAAAAGAUAAAAUUACCUUAGGGAUAACAGCGUAAUUUUUUUUUUUAGUUCAUAUAAAAAAAAAAGUUUGCGACCUCGAUGUUGGAUUAAGAUAAAAUUUAAAUGCAAAAGUUUAAAAUUUUGAUCUGUUCGAUCAUUAAAAUCUUACAUGAUCUGAGUUCAAACCGGUGUAAGCCAGGUUGGUUUCUAUCUUUAAAAAAAAAUAAAAUAUUUUAGUACGAAAGGAUCAAAUAUUUAAAAUAUUUUUAUUUAAUUGAAUUUUAUUAAUU
This 1335-nucleotide ribosomal RNA is filed under the name Quasinarosa fulgens. RNAcentral describes it as "16S ribosomal RNA". Lineage: Eukaryota; Metazoa; Arthropoda; Insecta; Lepidoptera; Limacodidae. The record is from RNAcentral.